Non-coding RNA from Chiloscyllium plagiosum (whitespotted bambooshark), 12383 nucleotides. The record is from RefSeq and is a predicted model, not a curated record. NCBI's taxonomy places the organism in Eukaryota, Metazoa, Chordata, Chondrichthyes, Orectolobiformes, Hemiscylliidae.
AUUGACAGGGAGUUCGGCGGUAAACAGUGGGUCGGCGCGUAAAGCGCGGCGAUUAAUCAGAGUACCUACUGUAAGGAGUGUGUACAAUCCGACAUAAAACGGCUCAGUUAUCUCCGGGAACCUGCCUCUGUUUCCCUUCCUGGCAAAGCUUAUUCCGAGAAGCAGGUGUGAAGGCUGCUGUUGGAUGACAUGGAUCUGUGUGAUACGGAGGAGCGCGAUAGUGACGAUGAAGUGUUCGACCUGGACUUAACGGCCCCGGACAGCGGCUACAGUGACACCAGCGGGACCUACGCAUCCGGUGCCUCUCCGAGCUGGACUGCCAGGCGCCAGCGGUUGUUUCCUCCAACGCAGCACUCGAAUGGAGCCGGGGGCAUCCCGGAGGAACAGUGUGACAGGGGGACGCAAACCUCUAGCUCCAGCCCCCCAGAUGAAAGCGAACCGCAAAGACUAUUCUAUGGCAGUGCAGCGUAUCGCCUGAAUUUUACUGAGGUUUUUGAAGUGCCGCGGGCCAGCACAGCACCCCAUCAUGAUCGGGAGAAUGUGCUACAGAUGGAUGCACAGCCUGAGGAGAGAGUGGAGAUUCGGAUUGGACGGAAACUGCAGCAGAUUGGGGAUCAGUUCCAUAGCUCCUACAUGGAGAGGCGGAACAGAAAUGAAAACCGUGUGGACCAGCCCUUGUGGUGGCGACUUCUCUUCGUCCUCUUCACUUUGAUCUUUGACCUGGAAGAGAAUGCGGAGGCGGCAGGGCAAAGGUGAGGCCCACCCUGCAUGUCAGCCCUCCACUCUGCAGCCAGACAUCAGAGGGUACUGUGGAUGGCACUGAACAAGGGGACAAAAGCACGCGUGUGAAGGUACAUUCUGCUGGUCGGAUGGUGUCACAUUUUUGUUUUAUCCAAAGUGGAAAUGGCGCAUUGUUUUCCAGUGACGUCCACUGGAAGCUUGCUGUUGACUAUCACGUGCUCACCACUGCUACUAAUGGAUCCUCUUCCCAAUGCUGGUGAGCUCUGACAAAUCACUUAACUCCACAGAGAAUGGGUUCUACUUCUUUUGUACGCAGUCAUGAACGUCAUACAGGCGCAGCAGCAAGAAGAACAAAGGAAAGAAGACUGAAACAGAAAUUGCUGGAGAAACUCAGCUGGUCUGGCAGCAUCUGUGGAGAGAGAGCAGAAUCAACGCUUCGAGUCUGGCGACUCUUCAUCAGAACUCUUCCCAAUCAUUGACGCCGUCUCAAAGAGUCUUUUGUAGUUGAGUGCAGCACUGGAUUCUCAACACUGGUUAUCCCUUUACAUGUUUACCAUGUAUUUUAACCCCUCCGUUUCCCCCCAAUAACCAAGUGACCUCUCUGAGAACUAGAUUGCUUCUCCCUUGUAGGGCUAAGUUGGAUGUGUCUUGACGUUUCUGUGUCCGCCCAUGUGCAGAGACCACUCUCGAGUUCCUACAGUCCUGCUGAAAGCUCUGUUUGCCAAUGGUUUGUUUACGGGUCGGGCAUGCUGACCACUUCUGGGAUUCAGAGACUUGUCAGCAGGGUAAUCGGCACUCCAUCCUUGGAGGAUGGUUCUCCCUGGCAUGCCCCACCUCAGCCCAAACUAAGGCUUGGGGCUCCAUUUCUCACUGGUCUCCUUCCCCCUUUUGGAAGGCAGUUAUAAUUUCGGAUAAAAAUGAAGGAUAUUGCAGGGUUGUGUAGGCGAGUCACUUCUUAUGUGGUGGGGUGGGGGGAGGGGGCAGAGGUGGGAAGAGAAAAAAAAACAAAAAAAAGAGCACAGAGGCGUCUCCAUAGAAACGGUUGAGUCUGAAACUGUGAACCCAUCCCCAGCCAUUCAAUCUCCUCUGACCUGGAUGAAUUCAAUCGAAAUCAUACAGCACAGAAUGAGACCAUUCAGCACAUAGAGCUCAUGUCUACCCCUGUCUUCCAAAGGGCUCCCCCAUGCUCUUUCCUGAAGCCUUCCAGGUUUUUUUUCUCCUUUUCCAGUUCCCCUUGAAUAGCUACUGUUGAAUCUGCUUCCAACUCCUUUGCAGGCUGCGCAUUUCAUGUUGCAACGUCACACUUUGUCAAAGACUUUCUCCCUAUUUCUCUCUCUCUAUUUUACCAAUUAUCUGAUUCCUCUGCUUAUCGACGCUCUCCCUUUUCACUAAGUCAGAAGCCCACAUUAGAUGGGAAAUCUCCGUUAGACCUCAUCCUCGUCACUGCUCCACCAACCUCCUGGGCUUUUCUGAGGGAAGGGUCUGAUUCAAGCUGAACCACUCUGCAUCCAAAUCCUUCAGCAGGAGCUGUUCUUUAUCUGUGCCUGCCUUUCUCCCUGCUAAAGGUCUUGGACUGUUCACUUAGACACACACACACACCCUCAAACACCCAACUGUACAAAGAGUAUUAUCUCAAAGAGCUGUUGCUCCUUCAGAGCCACUAAGACAUGGCCAACUUCUCCCACCCGCCCUCCUCCAGAGGUUUUGAGGGCUGUCUUUUCUACGAUACCUGUGGUGAUCUGAGAUUCCUGGAGCUUAAGCCAGGCUUUCUCCAUUACAGAUUGAUCAGAGGUUGGGUUAUGACUGCCAAGUAGUGCUCACUGUGCCAUUGGGUGUAGGGAAGAGAUUACAAGUGUCACAAGGUCUAAAGUGCCCCAUCCCCACAAACAAAUAAUCUAGUGGAAUGAUCAGAAUUUCCAGUAUGGCCUGCACUCCCUGGUCCUUGUUGGUUUGAGCAGAUGCAUCAUGGGAAGUUCCUAUCCCUCAUUGUGAUCACUUCUGCAAAAAGGCCAAGUUGAUAAUCUGGAAGCUAUUCCUAAUAGAUAUCCCAGAUUUUAAAGAGGAGGUUUCUGUCCUGAAGGACUCCUAGCAGACCCAGCUGCCCAUCACCGAAUUGGGAUUGGCACUGGGACACAAUGUGGUCGCAGGUGACGAAUGCGAGUUGGCUGCCUACCACAGAAUGCUGUUUCUGACCCUUUUCCUUGUUUCGGAGCAAAUUUUCCUACCCCCGGCGCAAAGUUUCUGAGAGCACUUCUGAAAUCCCAACUCGUGCCCCUUUAAACCUUGUUCACCUUUCCUUGAUAAUUCGCAUUGCAUCUCCCACCUCACAUCACAACACUGGGGAAAAUCGGGAGGGGGUGGGGUCAGCAGUUGGAAGAAAGUUGGGGUUUUUAUAAAGGAAAGUGUGGUUGACAAAUUGUUACCAUGAUGUCGCAUGUUAACUGCAGUACCACCUGUGUCAGAAGUCACACAACAUCAGGUUGGUGUGUAUUUUUGUUUUAAACGCCCACCAACAUUACCAGUUCCUUAACCUGCACAUGUUUAUCUGCUGAUAUGUGACCUGUCACCCUUCACCUGUGACCCAGUUGAGAAGCAGGCUGUUACAUCAUACUCGACUCAGGAGAUUAAAGAGCCUUGAAUCAAACAUUAAUUAACUGCUGGAUGGAUAUUAGAGCUAAACUUGGUGUAAUUAUACUGGCCUCGGUUCAGGUACAGACAAAUCCUGCUGUGGUGAGGCUCCCCUCUCUGUUAUAUUCAAAACAAUUUUCAAUUGUUGUUCAAGUAAAUCAAAAGGUUUUAUUAGUGAAAGAAGACUAAGUCAAAUCUAAUGAAAGGCUCCAACUAUUUUAAUUAGUCAGAGCCUGGGCUGGCACAGCAGGAAGCAUUAGCUCUGAGCUGCUUCCUUGUCAGUGAAGCCUGCCAGGCACAAUUAAUUCUACACGCAAUAGCGCUCAACUCACGCUCCCUCAUGCUCACUCUUUCUCCAUCGUUCUUUGUCCCAGUGUUAGUUCUCCUCUUGCCCCUCUCCACUCCUUCCCCUUUCCCUAGUUUUCAACUCUCUCAUCACGUCUCACUCAAUCUCACACCCUCUGUCCAUUCCUUGCUAGCCUGGCCUGUGUUCUGCUCCCGCCCCAUAAAUUUCUUUCUCCUGCAUUUGUUACUUAUGCGUUUCUCUCUCUCUUUUCUUCCCUUCCCUUCUCCCCUGCAUUCUCCCUCAUUCUGAGCACUUGCUGACUUUACCACCGGUUUGUCUUGGUCUUCCUUCUUCAUUUUUAAUUCGUCUCUCUCCAUCGACCUUUCUCCCUCUUCCUUGUUUAAGAAACUGGUAUCCCUGGACAACUGCUGUUGAAUUCAAACAUGUGAAUUAGGAAAAGGAGUAGGCCACUCAGCUCCCCAAUGCUGCCCCACUUUCCAAUGAGAUGGUGGAUGGUUACUCCCCAUCCCCACUUUUACCCCCAGUAACCUUUGUUCAACAUUAAUCUAAUUCCUCUGCCUUGAAGAUAUUCAAAGACUCAGUUUCCAAUCCCUUUGCAGAAAGAGGGUUUCAAAGAACUAGGGAAGGACAAAAAAAAAUUCUCCUCGUCUCUAUCUUAAUUGGACAAGACCCUAUUUAUUUACCAGCAACCCUCCAUCAGCCACAAGCUUACUCAGUGCUACCUUUCCAGGCCCACCCUGUCAAGACUGCUAAGCAUCUUGUGUGUUUCAAUCAGUUUGCCUUAGGCUGUGCCAAACAGCAAUGGGUACAGGCCCAGCCUGUCUUAUCUUUCCUCAGAAGAUAACUCACCUAUUCAUUGAAUCCCUACAGUGUGGAAGCAGGCUAUUCAGCCCAACGAAUCCACACCGACCCUCAAAAGAGUAUCACACCCAGACGACCCACCACCCCCCCCCCCCCCAUACUAUCUCUGUUAUACUACAUUUCCCCAUGGCAAAUCCACCCAGCCUGCACAUCCCUGAACACUAUUGCAAUUUAGCCCUGCCAGUCCCCUCCAGUACAUCUAACCUGGAACUGUGUUGGUUGUUAAAAGAUAAAGAAAGCCUUGGCAACAUUUUUUUGAAUUACCUUUCACCGUGAGCAAAGUGAUUUAUUGAGAUUGACUGUUGGACCUGGAGUACUGGGGUGGCUGCUGACUGUUGCACAACUCGCUGCUCGCACUUGGUGUUAUGUCGAAGGAAUUUAAAUAGUAAAAUUUGUGCUAGGGUCCACCUUAGCAAAGAUCUCAUUGACUGAUGUGGUGGCCUAAAGAAAUGAGUGAUUUUUUUUUUGGAAGUUUGUUCAUGAAAUGUGGGUGUUGCUGGCUGGGUCAGCACUUAUUGCCCAUCCUUCAUUGACCUUGAAUUGAAUGGCUUACUGGAUACAAUUUUCAGAGGGCAGUGAAGAGUCAACCACGUUGCCAUUCUAAACAAUGUCCGUCCUACAGAAUAGACCAAAAGCCUUGAGGUUAUUUUCUGAUUGUUUUCCCCCUUGGUUUUACAUUGAGGAAUAUGCAGUGUGUUCCUUUCCUUUUGGAAGAAAGGAGGUAGCUCAGAGAUAACAGGCUGCAAGGGAAAGCAGGCAAUCCCAUGAUGCAGUGAGCUGAAGACUGGGUUGCCAAGGCAAUGCCAAGAUACUGCUCCUUUGGAUUCGCUGCAUUUCAUGGCACCAGUGUGAAAUGGAGGUCACCCCAUUGAAAAAUGUUUACAAAUUUGUAAAAGAUUUACUGUUUUACACUAUUGCUUGAAUAUGCGGAUUGUCCAAGGUGUCACAACACCUAUUAAAUCAUUAAGUAAAAUAUUGAGUGUUGGUAAGACUCGUGUCCAGGCAUGAAGCAUUCUGUUUGGUCUGCCCUUCAACAUGAAUUUGAACUUAUAUUAUGAAUUUAACAAAGCGUAUGUAAAGGGAUGUAUUUAAUUGAUCUGCCUGGGACAAGUCAAAGGCUGGCUGUGUUCAAAAAGAAGAUUUAAAUAUUCUCAGUCCCUUUGGAUGGGAAAGUACUAUCACAUGACAAUGGUUCUUCCCCCUAGGCUAUUGGCCCUCAGGCUUGAGACUCAUCAUCAUUGCCCGCUUUCCCAACCCAAAUUGGAAAGCCAAUUUUUAUAACUAAGAGAAACACAAGCUUUUUUUUUUAAAUGAUCUCAAGAAUUUCUGUCAGACAGGCAAGUAAUGAUGUAUUGGAGAUUAGCCCGUAUUUCAUGGAAACUCAAGGAUUCUGGUAGAAUGGGUAGGCACAGCAGAUUUCCUUCCUCAAGAACUGGCUGAGAUUUUUUUCCUGACAAUCCAGUGGUUCCAUGAUUGUCAUUACCAGUUUUUCAAUUCCCGAUUUUGUUUAAUUUAUUGAUUUCAAGCUCCCCAGCUGCCUUGGCAGGAUUUGAACUUUUGCCCACCAGAACAGUUGUCAGGCCUCUGCAUUACUGGUUUAGCGAGAUAACCGUAAAAUCAAGUGAGUGUGACAUUCCAUGAAUUGCUCUUGUAGAGACCCGGUGUGGACAUGACAGUCUGGAUGGGCUUCCUGUGCUGUAAUCAUUCUAACCUCAUGCUUUUGUACCCACACCAGGCAUAGUUUUUAAAAUUACAAGAAUGAGGAAGACUGAAUGGGGAUAAAGAGUUCCACAGUGUUGAAGUUCUAUAGUAGAAUGAGUAAGACUGUGCAAUAAGGUUUGUUGGCAAUGCAUUGAGGAUUUAGACGGGAAAAGCAAUGUGCGUGGAUAUAGCAACAACGGAACAGAUAUUGUGCCUCAACAGAUGUUGAUGGACAUACACACGUGUGCUCAUAUGUGCAGAUACGGGAUUAUCCUUUAAGUGAAUCGUUUUAUGGUUUCACCUUAAAAAUCGUCCCAGCAAUAGAAGAUAACAAGUGGUCCCAUGGAGCCUUCUUCGACGCUGAGUCAAGAGCUGCAACAUUUGCUCAGGAGAAGUGGGAAGCUAUACACACACUCGUACUUUUACCAUCACACCAUGUUUUGUGGUGCAGCCUUUUUACAAAAAAAAUGUUUCCUGCAAUCUUUGAACGCUGAGCCAGCUAACAUAGAAAGACUGCCUCAAGAAUGGACAACUGAUACGGAACUGCACAAGAUAACUCAUUGCAGACUGCCUACAUCAACCUUGUGAAAGGCGUGAGGGAGCUCCCUUACAUUUCUGUAAUUUAUUCUGUAUAAUUUAUUUUGUGUAUUACUGGUCUUGUCUAGUUUUUCUAGUGUGCAAUGUCUUUGUGUUUCAUUGGAUUGGCUGGGCCAGCUCAGAUGGAACAGGCCAAUUUGAACACUUGCUGAAACUGGCACCUUAGGAGAAGGAGUGGUGCCCAGGGUUGGGAUGGGGGAAGAACUAGUCACUAUCAUAAUGCAAGCGUGACAAUUAUAGGCUGAACAAGCAAUGCCUCCUCUCUCAUGUCAUGGUCAUAACUGCUUGCUGUGAUGGGGAGCUUCCUUUGUCGGGUGCUGUGAUGCUACCAUCUAAGACUUCCAGUCCCUUCUACACUCUACUUCCUGUUCGUUAUGGAGAUCUGAAUGAUGAACCUUUUUGAGGAAGGACAUUGAGAUUCCUUGCCCUAUGAAUGUAUGGAAAAUUACUGUCUUCAAAGAAGAAGCAUCAGAUCACAUGCAGUCUACUUUUGGGAGAUAGGGUUUUACUACUGGGUUUCUGAAAGUCAAUAUUGUCGAUUGUAGCAGACCCUCCACUUGCCUGGUCCUUUGGGAGUUAUGUUACUCAAUGUCAUGACAGAAGAGUACAGUAGGAUCUCAACAACUCACUUUCAUCCGGACUCUGUUUGGAUUGGUUAAGGAAGAAGGAAGGUGAGAGGCAAGGUUUGUUCAUCAGUCUCCAAACAGCAGAAACCAAACCAAAGUCAUGUCUCUCCUGGAGAAGCCUCCCUGCUCCACGGGUAUUGGCAAACUCUUAAUUUCUUGCAUGAAGGGAGUGCAAAUCAAACAAAGCGCCCCAUGACCUCCUCCAGAGCUAUGAAGAUAUGAGUAUCACUGUCAAGUCUCAAAGCCAGCAUGGUUUUAGGGUUAACUUUAAGUGAGCAGUAGGCUAUUUCAGUUUCACUGUGAGAUGCCUGCAGCUUUAGGAGUUCCUGGUUUGUCACGUUUUAUUUUGUUGUUGUACGUCUUGGCAAAUCUCCUCUUCCAUGUCAGAGUUUCUUGAUCAAACUACUUGCACAUCGACUGCUUAAAGGCUGUUGGUCAGUGGCUAGCCUGAGGUUAGCUCAUACAGACUGGGUUGUCUCUGAAAGACAGUCCCCAGGCCCACUCACGUUGUCUGUAAGUCCUCAGCACGGAAGUGCACCUUAUUCAGACCUCUCUCAGGUGAAUUGUAAUCGGUUGUGUUGUUUGGGAGGGAAGGGGAGGGGAGCGGUGGGAGGUGGGGUGGGGAGGUGGGGAGUGGCUGGGGAGGGUAAACCAUUGCUGCAUCUACUUGACAGUGUUUCGAUUGUGACUGAUAAUGUACAUAGGCUUAAAAACAAACAUUGCAUCUAAAACACAUACCAAUCAAGAUGAGUUUAAAGGUCACAUACAAAGAAAAUAUCGCCCGUGCCUUCUCAGGCCAGGUUCGGAGUUUCAUCAGACCAAAACUGGUUCUUCAUUAGAAUGGACAUUCCUCAUUGGUAAACUUUAAGGGAGAUUAUGAACUGGGGGCAAUUCAUUUUGAAGAGCUGGAUAGUAGUCAGCUAUAAAUUAUCCCAGUCUAUCUUAGAGGAAGAUGAGACCACACUUUUUCUGCUCUGCAUAGUUUAACUCUGUGUUAGGCAAGACAUCUGCCCGUCAUUGUGUGGAUCUCCAAACUGGCAGUUGUAGAAGAACAGUUGGCUGUAGGAUGUUUCUGAAGGGUCAACCUGUAGUCCACAGCAAUGACCAACAUACAAUGUGCAAAAAGCAGGAUCUUCCACAGCCAGUCCCUUCUGCAACGUGCGGGGAUCUUUUGUAUGUGAUCUUUGAGCGACAAAGGUGCUGACUCUUCCAUCACAAUGUUUCUCUUGAAGGUUUUGAUGAGACACAGCUCUCUCCUUAACAUAUGAGGAAGCCUCUGACUGUAACGUUAGGUUGGGGAACAGAGAUAGAGGGACAGGAAAAUGAAAACACGCACUGGAAUGUCAUUUUUGUGUUGUAUAGUUUUUGUUCUGUCUUUUUGCUGAAAUUGUUUUUCAUUAACCUCCUUGCCCUUUUGAAAGAAAUGUAAUUGUAAAGCAGGAUUUAAUGCUUUGCGGGUUUCAAGCUUGUCUGCUUCUGUGACCAAUGAAUUCCGUGAACCUUGAAGGUACAUAUGUUCUCGAGAGUUAAACACUCUCUCCUGUCCUGUACCAACACCCGACUCCCACAAUGAACAACAUAGACUUAUCCACCUCGAGUUGAAAGCUGGACCUGUAUGUUAUGAAUGAUUGUGGUUCUCUCCAGACUUGAGAGGUCAGUUCCACAAGUGCUUGCUUCACACAAUCUGCAGAUAUGAACUUAAAAAUUGAUGCUUAAAACGGCUUUGUUCCUCACAGGACCAAAGGUAUUCCUGUGAAUGAUGAAUUUUGAGUUGGGUGAUUCUCAUAUGCAGCUGAUUGGAAGCUCCCCUUUAAGAUUCUUUAGGAGCGCAGGAAGACAAGAUAGCAGCCGUGAAAGAGUUCUGGCUGGUCCAUACAAAACAUUACCAAGGAAUCAUAGGAAGCAAGAGUAGGCCAUUCAGCCCCUUCAGCCUGCUCCACCUUUGAACCAAAUCAUGGCUGAUCUUCUACCUCAAUGUAAUGUUUCUGCACGGUCCUUUACUAUCCAGAAAUCCAUUCAUCUCGGCCCUGAACUAGUCGUCCCGUACUAUUUGUCCAAUUUGUUUUUCUGUUCCCUUUAUUUUCAUGAGUUGUUGAAGAGAAAGUUGAUGAAACAGGAAUACAAAAUGUUUGUGUGGACUUUUCAAAAAUGGCUUUUCGUAAGCAAAAAUAAUAAAGCAGCGAAGAGUGAAAGUAAUCAAUUCCCCAUAUUAGCAAAGUUGGGGGGUGGGGGGAGAAGGUUUCCUUAUAAUUUAGGUCUUCUAUUACCCAAGUCUUCUUACCAGCAUUCAACCCUGGCGUAUGGCCUGCCAGCCUAUACAGGCCCCUUAUUUGUGUGCUAUAGCCAGGAUACAUGUGCUUCUGAGGUCCAUGUGGUCACAUGGGUACUACACAACCAACCUAGCAUCCUGGAAGGAAAAGCACUGCUAUCUGACUGUACAAAUAUAUCUCAGGGUCCUGGUGUGAAUCUCUGAGAUAGAUUCUUAUAUUAUCGUGUUGUUCACCUGAGUAAUCAUGGGUGUAAUACGAGCUCGGGCCACUAUUGUGAAACAUGGGGCGGGGGGGGGGGGUUGGCGUGGAGCUGGUGGAGGUAUGCCGUUCAGUUUUACAAUGUAGAAUUCAAAGGAUCCUUAGAAGCUCAGCUACAAUCAUGAACGGAAGGAGAUUCACUGUACAAUCCAAAUUCACCUCAUGCUAUAGUUUCAGAUACAACUGCAAGAUCUUGAUUACAGGUACUGUAAAACCACUUUCCUGGCAAACACUCAUCCUUCAACCAACAACAACCACUGAGAAUUACAUAGUGCCCAUUAUAUAGGCAAAGAUCUCAAGGUGCUUCCCAAGUGUGCUAUUGGACAAAAUAUAACACCUUCACUAACGUGUUCAUUGUUGGUGAAACUUUGUUGCAUAUGAAUGACUGUUUUGCAGCACUGAGUACAUGUUCAAAAGUACUUCAUUAGCCACAACACACUUGUGGUAAUUCUAAACACGUUUAUUUUAUAAUGAGGACAUUAAUCCGUUAACCCCAUUACGUCCUCUGUUUACACCGAAUACACAGUCCUGUGAAUCCACUGUAACAAUAAGAUUUUAACAAUGUCGCCAUAGGAAGCACCCUCUGAAAUAGUAGAACUCUUUCAUGGAAUUCACCUCAUUAUGAGCCCGGAAAGAAUGUUAUAAAUACUCCCUGAAGAACCUCAGGUGAUCAGGAACAAGGCUACAAUAUUCACUCACCCCUUGCGUUCCGCCAUUCAGCCCGGGAAUAAUUUGCAUCAGCUCCCUCGCUCUUGAUCACUAAUUGGGUGAUAUGGUGCUGGGGGAAGCUAGGAUUUUAGUCCAGUCAAGAAUUAACCAUUAAAAUAGUCUUCAUAACCAUGUGAAGCAGAUUCCUUAACCUCUACGCCUCUUGCGUUUAAUAUUGACUACAAUAUUUCUCUUGGUUCCGCAGCUUCAAUCCAAAUCAUGCUGGGGGCUGGAUUGCCAGCUUUGAUUGGAUUUAUGUGAAGAGGUUUCAGUACGUGAAGUCAAACCUUCAACAAGCCUUGCCCCAUCGUCCUGCCUCUUUGUGCUGUGUCACUUUCUGGAAUUAAACGAUUAUCUGAUUGGAUCACUCUUAAAUUUGAUUUAUUGCUGUCAUGUAUACUGAGGUACAGUGAAAAGUGUUGCCUUACGUGCUUUGUAGGCAGAUCGGACUGUACAACUACGUCAGGGUAAUAGAAAAGAGUGCAGGCUACAAUGUUAGAGCUGGGGAGAAGGUGCAGGCAUCGAUCAACAUUAGUAUUAAAGAGUCCAUUCAAAAGUCUGAUAACAGCAUCUGUUUAAAAGUCUGAGAAAUACUAUUCAAACAGCGUUCCCUCCCUUCCCCAAGAGUUUUCGAUGUGAUAAACAAAACUAAGAUAGGCAUCAUUACCGGCGGUCCCUCGCAGACAAGGAUGACUCUCUUCCACUCUCAGGGUGAGUCUGUAGGUGAUAGGCAAAUGACAUGAUUGCUUACAGCUCCCACCCACCUCCUUGUAAUUGUAGAUGAGAAAGAACUUCUCAUCUCUUGUAUCAGAGAGUCUUGACGGCUUUCAAUAUUAAGGUCAUUGAGCUUAGGAACACUGAAACAAGAGUAGGUCAUUCGGGCCCUGGAGUAUGUUCUGCCAUUUACUGAGCUUGUGGGUGAUCUGUAUAAAAAAAUCCCAUAUUUUCCCCUUGAUGCUGGAUCCCUUAUUACCCUUGCCUGACAAAAAUCUAUUCGUCUUGAAAUAGUCUUGACCUCCGUCCUUGGCUCCUCAAGUGGAAAUGCUAACUUUCCUUUAACUGAAGUUAACAAGUUGUUGAGGUUUGGAACAGAAGCAGAUAAAUGAAGUUAUGAACCUUCAAAGACUGAUCUUGCUGUCUAAUCUAUUCAGGGCAGAGAAUGGAUGUAAUUGGAUAAUGAUGUGGCUACAUGCCAGGCCGAUGUCUCCACACACUGGGAAACUUAUGCUAAUGGCCCAUGUCAUGGCAUGACCCUAUCUGACCUAGUCAGCUAUAAGUGGCCAGCAGGUUAUGUGUAUGCAUAACCCUAGAUUCCCAGUUAACAAUCCAUUCUUUGCAACAACUGUUUGAAAGUUGUCCUCUUAUUUUCUGUACAGGUAUUUUUUUUUCCCCGAAAAGUAAACUGGAGGUCUUGAAAACUGCACAAUCCCAGACAAGAGAAGAGACCCAGUGAUAAUGUAGCACGGUUUAGAACAAACACCUUGGGAUUUGUGUGUGUUAUUGAGACUUGGGGAAGUGCACUCAAUAACUGUAAAUAGCUGAAAAUGGGAGCUGAUUUUCUACUUGUGCAAUAUGGCUGUAUAUUAAAGCUUGGCUCCUUCUCUCCUCCGUUAUACUCUUAUGGGUUCAGUUUUACGUUUGUAAAGUAUUUGUAAACUUUUGUUUCUAAUAAAACCUGUUACAGUA